CGCUGGCGGCGUGCCUAACACAUGCAAGUCGAACGAUGAUGGAGAGCUUGCUCUCCUGAUUAGUGGCGCACGGGUGAGUAAUGCAUAGAUAAUGUGCCCCUUAGUUCGGGAUAGCCACUGGAAACGGUGAUUAAUACCGGAUACUCCUUCUUGUUAUAAGACAAGUCGGGAAAGUUUUUCGCUAAGGGAUCAGUCUAUGUUCCAUCAGCUAGUUGGUGAGGUAAUGGCUCACCAAGGCAAUGACGGAUAUCUGGUUUGAGAGGAUGAUCAGACACACUGGAACUGAGACACGGUCCAGACUCCUACGGGAGGCAGCAGUGAGGAAUAUUGCACAAUGGAGGAAACUCUGAUGCAGCAACGCCGCGUGGAGGAUGACGCAUUUCGGUGUGUAAACUCCUUUUAUUAGGGAAGAUUAUGACGGUACCUAAUGAAUAAGCACCGGCUAACUCCGUGCCAGCAGCCGCGGUAAUACGGAGGGUGCAAGCGUUACUCGGAAUCACUGGGCGUAAAGGGUGCGUAGGCUGGCUUUUAAGUCAGAUGUGAAAUCCAAUGGCUCAACCAUUGAACUGCAUUUGAAACUGAAGGCCUAGAGUUCAGAAGGGGCAGAUGGAAUUAGUGGUGUAGGGGUAAAAUCCGUAGAUAUCACUAGGAAUAUCAAAAGCGAAGGCGAUCUGCUGGGAUGAUACUGACGCUGAGGCACGAAAGCGUGGGGAGCAAACAGGAUUAGAUACCCUGGUAGUCCACGCCCUAAACGAUGAAAUGCUAGUCGUCGGGGAGCUCGUCUCUUCGGUGAUGCACUUAACAGAUUAAGCAUUCCGCCUGGGGAGUACGGUCGCAAGAUUAAAACUCAAAGGAAUAGACGGGGACCCGCACAAGUGGUGGAGCAUGUGGUUUAAUUCGAAGAUACACGAAGAACCUUACCUGGCCUUGACAUGGUAGGAACCCUUAAGAGAUUAGGGGGUGCUAGCUUGCUAGAACCUACACACAGGUGCUGCACGGCUGUCGUCAGCUCGUGUCGUGAGAUGUUGGGUUAAGUCCCGCAACGAGCGCAACCCUCGUCAUUAGUUGCUAACAGUUUGGCUGAGCACUCUAAUGAGACUGCCUCCGUAAGGAGGAGGAAGGUGAGGACGACGUCAAGUCAUCAUGGCCCUUACGGCCAGGGCUACACACGUGCUACAAUGGGGCGUACAGAGAGCUGCAAUACCGCGAGGUGGAGCCAAUCUCUUAAAGCGUCUCUCAGUUCGGAUUGUUCUCUGCAACUCGAGAACAUGAAGCUGGAAUCACUAGUAAUCGCAGAUCAGCUAUGCUGCGGUGAAUACGUUCCCGGGUCUUGUACUCACCGCCCGUCACACCAUGGGAGUUGAUUUCACCCGAAAUCGGGAUGCCAAACUGGCUACCGCUUACGGUGGAAUUAGCGACUGGGGUGAAGUGGUAACAAGGUAACC
This 1445-nucleotide ribosomal RNA is filed under the name uncultured Campylobacterota bacterium. RNAcentral's name for it is "uncultured Epsilonproteobacteria bacterium 16S ribosomal RNA". It matches the Rfam family "Bacterial small subunit ribosomal RNA". The record is from RNAcentral. Lineage: Bacteria; Pseudomonadati; Campylobacterota.